AAAUUUGGUAACCAAGCCAACAUACUUAUUUCAAUCAUGCUAUAAAAAUUGCAAAGCAAAAUAUUACAGGAGUAGAGAAAACCACUCAUCAGCAUAUAAAACAUAGAUCUAAGUUCAGUUUGCAAGAGAUUAAUUCUCUAGUUCAACUAUUUAAAGAGAAUCAUCCAACCAAUAGAAGCUAACAUGCGUUAAGUAUAAAUCACCACAACUUGAUUCCUCGUGUUGAUAAAAUUCUCUUUAUGCUAAAGAAGUAGCUACUUGUGAAGUAGAGAAGCCAAGUUCGACUCGACAUCUUCAUUGGCUUUGUGAUCAAAUGACUCAUCACCAAUAUAUAGGUCUAGGAUUGAUCUGCAUAAGAGUUUGCUUUGUAUGCUUCCCACUUCCUUUCCAUCAAUUGUUGUGUGGAGUAUGUAGUCAUGAUCUCUGGAGAGUUCAAUGAUAGAUCCCCGAGGUAAUUUAAUUUCAUCCUUAAACUGGGAAGUGAACCUUUGAAGCAAUUCCUUAUUAUCACAUCCCCCAAACUUAUGUAAUCUGCUGCCAACAGAUUCUUCGAAAGCACUGCGCACAGAAUUAAUGCUUAGCCUGCCAUAGACUAUUUGAAGCCUGAUAGUCAUGCGUAUAUUGUUUUCCAUGAGAUGAUUUCUCAACUCUUCCUUUUGCUGCAGUUCAGAAACAGAGCGCCGUCCAUGCUUCUCAGCCAGAUACCUCUUUACAUCAACAUCAUCAGCAUACACACCAUAAGCAUAGACAUCAAUGUUUUUCAAUCCAAAAACCGCCUUUUUACGCAGCCCAAUUCCAAGGAGUCGCUGAGUAUCUUUCAGAAUUGAGGGGAAUGCCAUUCCGGUCCUCGAUUCAGUGACCGGAGCUGAGUUAUCUGCUAGAGAAACAGAACCCCACAAAGGGGAUGAAUGAUUUUUGUUAGGUGAGAAAUUGGAAAGUAGAAAAUUCAUAGCAUUUUCCAGAAACGGAUUUUUGGGGCUUUGAGUUAUGGCAAUGAUCGCUCCGGCGGCAGCGAGGGCUGAACCUCCGGACGCGACGGCGACAGCGACGGUGGAGAAGGAGCGAGAUGGAGCAUCUGAAGUGGCGGAAGACGGAGUCUUGUGGGGCUGAGGAAACAAGAAUGGAAAACGA
RNAcentral lists this unclassified non-coding RNA (1131 nucleotides) under Hevea brasiliensis (rubber tree). Lineage: Eukaryota; Viridiplantae; Streptophyta; Magnoliopsida; Malpighiales; Euphorbiaceae. The record is from RNAcentral.